CGUCAGUUUAUGGUAAAUCCGUGUCCACUCCUGCCUUACCGAAGGCGUCUAUCGGCUUUGAAAUCCGCCGUGUAAACCGUGAUGCUUGGGGAUCCAUGCAGCCGUGGGCUCCUGGGCAUGGUUCUGUUACCACCAGGAAUUUAAUGUUGUUUAUAUCUCGUCUGUAUCUUUCAUUAUCAGUAGACACACAGCAGCACUGCCCGCAUGAGAUAGAUUCCUCUGUUCAAUUUUAGCCGUUAUUUUUUUUUUUUUUAAUUCUUUGACGGUUGAGAAGAAGCAGCAGUAGCCACAGGGAGCAGAACUAACAAGCCGCGGCCGCUUGACAGGUGCCGUCUCCCGGCUCUGCGUGGAGAGAUGCCGCCCGUCCAGAGAACCAUGUCUGAUCUUCGUACCCGGGCGGAGGGAUAUGAAAAGACAGAGGACACCACAGAAAAGACGUCCUUAGCUGACCAAGAAGAUGCCCGACUAAUAUACCUCAACCAGCUGCAGUUCACCAAGUUUUGCAACAAUCGAGUCAGCACAGCCAAAUAUAAUGUCCUCACAUUUCUUCCUCGGUUCCUCUACUCACAGUUCAGGAGGGCAGCCAAUGCCUUCUUUCUCUUCAUUGCACUGUUGCAGCAAAUCCCAGAUGUGUCUCCCACUGGUCGCUGGACCACACUGGUGCCGCUGCUCUUCAUCCUGAUGGUGGCUGCUGUCAAGGAGUUCAUUGAGGAUCUGAAACGUCACAACGCGGACAGUGUUGUCAACAAAAAGGAAUGUCAAGUACUGAGGAAUGGUGCCUGGGAGAUUGUGCACUGGGAAAAGGUGUCUGUUGGGGAAGUAGUCAGAGCUGCAAAUGGGGAUCACCUCCCGGCUGACCUCGUCAUACUGUCGUCCAGUGAACCACAGGGUAUGUGCUACAUUGAAACAUCUAACUUGGAUGGAGAAACAAACCUUAAAAUCAGACAGGGUCUCCAAAUGACUGCAGACAUAAAGGACAUCGACAGCCUGAUGCGUCUCUCCGGGCGGAUGGAGUGUGAGAGCCCAAACCGCCAUCUGUAUGAGUUUGUUGGGAACAUCCGCCUUGAUGGACACAGUACAAUGCCACUGGGUCCAGACCAGAUCUUACUGAGAGGAGCCCAGCUGAGGAACACUCAGUGGGUGCAUGGUGUGGUGGUCUACACUGGACAUGACACAAAGCUCAUGCAGAAUUCCACUCGGCCUCCUCUGAAGCUGUCCAACGUUGAGCGUAUCACCAACUUUCAGAUCCUUGUGCUGUUUGGUUGCCUGCUGGCCAUCUCUCUGGUCUGCUCCAUUGGCCAAACCAUCUGGAAGUACCAGUACGGCAAUGAUGCCUGGUACAUGGAUCUCAACUCUCCAGAUGGCGGGGCAGCUAACUUUGGCCUCAACUUCCUCACCUUCAUCAUCUUGUUCAACAAUCUGAUCCCCAUCAGUCUCCUGGUCACGCUGGAGGUUAUCAAGUUCACCCAAGCCUUUUUCAUCAACUGGGACACCGAUAUGCUCUAUGAGCCCACGAACACACCUGCCAUGGCUCGCACCUCCAAUCUGAAUGAAGAACUAGGCCAGGUAAAAUACAUUUUCUCUGACAAGACGGGGACCCUGACCUGCAACGUGAUGCAGUUUAAGAAGUGCACCAUCGCUGGCGUGGCCUAUGGCCACGUCCCUGAGGCUGAGGAGGGUAGUUUUGCAGAGGACGACUGCCACAGCACACACUCAUCGGAGGAGGAGGGAUUUAAUGACCUGAGCUUACUGGAAAACCUCCAAAGUAAUCACCCUACAGCUGCUGUCAUCCUGGACUUUAUGACCAUGAUGGCCAUCUGUCACACUGCAGUCCCUGAGCGCACGGAUGGAAAAAUCACCUACCAGGCUGCAUCUCCAGAUGAAGGAGCUCUGGUGAGAGCAGCACAGAACCUUGGCUUUGUGUUUUCUGGUAGAACCCCGGACAGCGUCAUAGUGGAAAUGCCUGGAACAGAGGAGAGAUACGAACUACUUCAUGUGCUGGAGUUUACAAGCACAAGGAAGAGGAUGUCAGUCAUCAUGCGCACCCCAUCUGGGAAGAUCCGCCUCUACUGCAAAGGAGCUGACACAGUGAUCUAUGACCGCCUGGCAGACAGCUCUAGGUACAAAGAGAUCACAUUGAAGCACUUGGAACAGUUUGCCACUGAGGGCCUGCGCACUCUGUGCUUUGCAGCGACAGAUGUCAGUGAGUCGUCCUAUCAGCAGUGGCUGGAGAUCUAUCGCAGAGCCUGCACCUCCCUGCAGAACAGAUCCCUGAAACUGGAGGAGAGCUACGAACUGAUAGAAAAGAACCUCCAGCUCCUGGGGGCCACAGCGAUAGAGGACAAGCUCCAGGAUAAGGUGCCCGAGACCAUUGAGACUCUAAUGAAGGCGGACAUCAAGAUCUGGAUCCUGACAGGGGACAAACAGGAAACAGCCAUUAACAUUGGACAUUCCUGCAAACUACUGACCAAGAACAUGGGCAUGCUUGUGAUCAAUGAAGACACUCUUGAUAGAACAAGGGAAGCGCUCAGCCACCACUGUGGAAUGCUGGGAGAUGCCCUCUACAAGGAGAACGACUUUGCUCUCAUUAUUGACGGGAAGACUCUCAAAUACGCCCUCGCAUUCGGAGUGCGACAGUACUUCCUAGACCUCGCCCUGUCCUGUAAAGCUGUCAUAUGCUGCAGAGUAUCUCCUCUUCAGAAGUCAGAGGUGGUGGAGAUGGUAAAGAAACAGGUGAAGGUGAUCACGCUGGCCAUUGGUGAUGGUGCUAACGACGUGGGAAUGAUCCAGACGGCUCACGUCGGUGUGGGAAUCUCCGGCAACGAGGGCCUGCAAGCUGCAAACUCCUCUGACUACUCUAUUGCCCAGUUCAAAUACUUGAAGAAUCUGUUGCUCGUCCACGGAGCCUGGAAUUACAACCGUGUAGCCAAGUGUAUCCUGUACUGCUUCUACAAGAAUAUUGUCCUCUACAUCAUUGAGAUCUGGUUCGCGUUCGUCAAUGGCUUCUCAGGCCAGAUCCUGUUUGAACGCUGGUGCAUUGGUUUAUACAACGUGAUCUUUACUGCUCUGCCGCCUCUCACUUUGGGAAUAUUUGAGCGCUCCUGCAGAAAAGAGAACAUGCUGAAAUACCCAGAACUCUACAAAACCUCCCAGAAUGCAAUGGGCUUUAAUACCAAGGUCUUCUGGGCCCAUUGUCUGAACGGCCUCUUCCACUCCGUCAUCCUCUUCUGGUUCCCCCUUAAAGCCUUCCAGCAUGAUACAGUUUUUGGCAACGGAAGAACUCCAGACUAUCUCCUCUUAGGCAACAUGGUUUACACAUUUGUGGUCAUCACAGUUUGUCUUAAAGCCGGCCUUGAGACCUCAUCCUGGACCAUGUUUAGUCACAUCGCCAUCUGGGGAAGCAUCGGCCUGUGGGUGGUGUUUUUCAUUAUCUACUCCUCCCUGUGGCCCCUCAUUCCUCUGGCUCCCGACAUGUCAGGAGAGGCGGAGAUGAUGUUCUGUUCGGGGGUCUUCUGGACGGGCCUGGUUUUCAUCCCAGUCACCUCGCUGGUCUUUGACGUUGCCUACAAAGUGGUGAAGAAGGUGUGUUUCAAGACCCUGGUGGAUGAAGUGCAGGAGCUCGAGGCUUUAUCCAAAGACCCUGGAGCAGUGGUGCAUGGAAAGAGUUUGACGGAGAGGGCCCAGCUCCUAAAGAAUGUCUUCAAAAAGAGCACAGUCAGUUUGUACCGGUCUGACUCCAUGCAGCAGAACCUGCUCCGUGGGGAUGAGAGCGUUGUUGUGUGAUACCUUUUUUUUUUUUUAAAUUCCAUUAUUCAUUAUUCAAACCUCACCCCGUCUUAAAACUGCCAGCCUCCUCUAGCUCCCUGAUAGAUGCCUCUCUCCCUCUUUUUUUCUGGUUGUUGACUUCCUGUCCUUCCCCUCGUGUGCCUCGUGGUGUGUCCUGAGUUGAGAUCAGUAGAGCGAGAUAAAGAUGAAAUGAUGAAAUGUUGCGCUGUUAUUCCCCCCUCCCCCCACCCACAAUGCACUCGUCUCAGCGGGGUCCUUUGAACUUCCCCGCUGGCCUCCAGGUACUGACCGAGUCAUUUGACACCUGAAGAUGGCUACGCCUUCUCUCAAGACGAGAACGGAGUGGUGUCUCAGUCAGAUGUCAUCAGAGCAUACGACACCACCAAACAGAGGACCAACGAGUGGUGAGCCGCCGGCCCUCUGGUCGGCCAAUCGGGUGCCACAACAGCCGUUUCUAAUGGCGAUAUUUGAAGCUUAGCAGGGGAAAGACGAGGCGCGAGUGUGUGCCUCCAGCACUUAGGGGAUUUUUGGAGGUGGACAGAGUGUCUUUGAAAAAGGAAAAAAAAAAAAAAAAAAA
RNA transcript from Sander lucioperca (pikeperch), 4363 nucleotides. It is a transcript of the gene named ATPase phospholipid transporting 8A1, with no coding region annotated. The transcript is spliced from 39 exons. NCBI's taxonomy places the organism in Eukaryota, Metazoa, Chordata, Actinopteri, Perciformes, Percidae. The record is from RefSeq and is a predicted model, not a curated record.